GUUCUGCGAGCCUCUUUUCUUAGUGUUUGCUCCUUGAGAUUCUCUGCGUUGUUUAUUAAAAUACUGUUCUUCUGUCCAGUUCAUCGGCUGUCUCCGGCGUUUGGCUCCACCAACAUACCCAGUCCUGCUGGAGGAUGGGUCUUGUGGAGAAAACCAGUUCCCAGACCUGUUCGAAUAUAGAUCAUUCGAUCAGCACAGCAGCAAUGACAGUGGGAGUGGUCCAUUGAUUCAUGCCUCCCCAGGUGGCGGAGUUGGUUGUACAGAAGUAUCAAACACUAACAGGUUACUUCAUUUCCCCUGCCUAUGGGACUCAUCGCUGAAAAAUGCCAUUCUGGUGAGCUUGCAGACUGCAUGUGGGAGCAGAGAAAAAGCACCUGGCUGAGAGAACAUCCCCAUUUCCUUGAUGAUAUUCCCACAAUUCGGAUGCGUCGGUGGGAUAUGGUGCAGGGAAGGAUCAUUCACACGUGCAAACCACCAGUACAUCAGUUUGGGAGCGAAACACAGUUUUAUUUGAAAGGAUAGGUGGAGGAGAGAGGAUGUUUAAACAUUUGUGAAGGUUUUAUUGGCUAAAAUUUUAAUGCACACCGCUAGUGCAGGAUGAUGUCACCAUUUAUGAUAGAAGUAGAAGUCAUGUGAGGUCGUUUCAUGGGGAAUUUAAAGUUGGUUAAAAUAAAAUAUACCCUACAGGGAAGUAAGUCCAAACUCUAUGAGAUAUGGCUUGAGGAUAUAGGCGACUGGGAUGACCAAACCUAGAGAAUAGGUUGUGCCUCUGGUCUUCUCUUUAUGCAAUAGGAUUAUUACUGUAGGUGUAGCUCCCUUUGAAUGAGGUGCACUUUAUAAUGUAUAAUGUUUGUCUAUUUUUAUAUGUCUUUGUGAUUUGA
Molecule: long non-coding RNA, 881 nt
Organism: Myripristis murdjan (pinecone soldierfish)
Lineage: Eukaryota; Metazoa; Chordata; Actinopteri; Holocentriformes; Holocentridae
Exons: 6
Source: RefSeq, a predicted model, not a curated record